CGGAGUCUAGCAUGUGCGCGAGUCAUUGGGAUUAAACCUAAAGGCGCAAUGAAAGUGAAGGUCAGCCUGCGCGGCAAGGGAAGAUGGGCGCGCGCUCCGCACUCCCGGGGCGUCUCGUUCUCAUCGCGAGAAGAGGCGCACCCAGAGCGUACACGCUGGGACCCGAAAGAUGGUGAACUAUGCCUGGUCAGGACGAAGUCAGGGGAAACCCUGAUGGAGGUCCGUAGCGAUUCUGACGUGCAAAUCGAUCGUCGGAACUGGGUAUAGGGGCGAAAGACUAAUCGAACCAUCUAGUAGCUGGUUCCCUCCGAAGUUUCCCUCAGGAUAGCUGGCGCUCGUCUUGUACGAGUCUCAUCCGGUAAAGCGAAUGAUUAGAGGCAUUGGGGUCGAAACGGCCUCAACCUAUUCUCAAACUUUAAAUGGGUGAGAUCUCCGGCUUGCUCGACGGAUCAGAGUGCCAAGUGGGCCAUUUUUGGUAAGCAGAACUGGCGCUGUGGGAUGAACCAAACGCCGAGUUAAAGCGCCUAAAUCGACGCUUAUGGGAUACCAUGAAAGGCGUUGGUAACUUAAGACAGCAGGACGGUGGCCAUGGAAGUC
RNAcentral lists this ribosomal RNA (597 nucleotides) under Strongylium sp. NLG-2012. RNAcentral's name for it is "eukaryotic LSU rRNA". It matches the Rfam family "Eukaryotic large subunit ribosomal RNA", at positions 670 to 1262 of the family's 3401-position model. The record is from RNAcentral. Lineage: Eukaryota; Metazoa; Arthropoda; Insecta; Coleoptera; Tenebrionidae.